This 832-nucleotide ribosomal RNA is filed under the name uncultured Bacillota bacterium. Its description in RNAcentral is "bacterial SSU rRNA". It matches the Rfam family "Bacterial small subunit ribosomal RNA", at positions 1 to 848 of the family's 1533-position model. Lineage: Bacteria; Bacillati; Bacillota. The record is from RNAcentral.
UGGAUCCAGACUUUGAUUCUGGCUCAGGACGAACGCUGGCGGCACGCUUAACACAUGCAAGCCGAACGGAGAACAUUGAGCUUGCUUAAUGUUCUUAGUGGCGGACGGGUGAGUAACACGUGAGUAACCUGCCUCUGAGAGUGGGAUAGCUUCUGGAAACGGAUGGUAAUACCGCAUAACAUCAUGGAUUCGCAUGUUUCUAUGAUCAAAGAUUUAUCGCUUAGAGAUGGACUCGCGUCUGAUUAGCUAGUUGGUAAGGUAACGGCUUACCAAGGCGACGAUCAGUAGCCGGACUGAGAGGUUGAUCGGCCACAUUGGGACUGAGACACGGCCCAGACUCCUACGGGAGGCAGCAGUGGGGAAUAUUGCACAAUGGGGGAAACCCUGAUGCAGCGAUGCCGCGUGGAGGAAGAAGGUUUUCGGAUUGUAAACUCCUGUUGAAGAGGACGAUAAUGACGGUACUCUUUUAGAAAGCUCCGGCUAGCUACGUGCCAGCAGCCGCGGUAAUACGUAGGGAGCGAGCGUUGUCCGGAAUUACUGGGUGUAAAGGGAGCGUAGGCGGGAUGGCAAGUCAGAUGUGAAAACUAUGGGCUCAACCCAUAGACUGCAUUUGAAACUGUUGUUCUUGAGUGAGGUAGAGGUAAGCGGAAUUCCUGGUGUAGCGGUGAAAUGCGUAGAGAUCAGGAGGAACAUCGGUGGCGAAGGCGGCUUACUGGGCCUUUACUGACGCUGAGGCUCGAAAGCGUGGGGAGCAAACAGGAUUAGAUACCCUGGUAGUCCACGCCGUAAACGAUGAUUACUAGGUGUGGGGGGACUGACCCCUUCCGUGCCG